This 421-nucleotide ribosomal RNA is filed under the name uncultured bacterium. RNAcentral describes it as "bacterial SSU rRNA". It matches the Rfam family "Bacterial small subunit ribosomal RNA", at positions 361 to 774 of the family's 1533-position model. The record is from RNAcentral.
AUCUUCCGCAAUGGGCGAAAGCCUGACGGAGCAACGCCGCGUGAGUGAUGAAGGGUUUCGGCUCGUAAAACUCUGUUAUGAGGGAAGAACAAAUGUGUAAGUAACUGUGCACAUCUUGACGGUACCUCAUCAGAAAGCCACGGCUACCUACGUGCCAGCAGCCGCGGUAAUACGUAGGAGGCAAGCGUUAUACGGAAUUAUUGGGCGUAAAGAGGGCGUAGGCGGUUUCUUAAGUCUGAUGUGAAAGCCCACGGCUCAACCGUGGAGGGUCAUUGGAAGCUGGGAAACUUGAGUGCAGAAGAGGAAAGUGGAAUUCCAUGUGUAGCGGUGAAAUGCGCAGAGAUAUGGAGGAACACCAGUGGCGAAGGCGACUUUCUGGUCUGUAACUGACGCUGAUGUGCGAAAGCGUGGGGAUCAAACA